This 463-nucleotide long non-coding RNA is filed under the name Mytilus galloprovincialis (Mediterranean mussel). The record is from RNAcentral. Lineage: Eukaryota; Metazoa; Mollusca; Bivalvia; Mytilida; Mytilidae.
CGGGUUAGGGGGAGGGUUGGGAUCCCGCUAACAUGUUUAACCCCGCCACAUUAUUUAUGUAUGUGCCUGUCCCAAGUCAGGAGCCUGUAAUUCAGUGGUUGUCGUUUGUUUAUGUGUUACAUAUUUGUUUUUCGUUCAUUUUUUAUGCCCCACCUACGAUAGUAGAGGGGCAUUAUGUUUUCUGGUCUGUGCGUCCGUUCGUCCGUUCGUUCGUUCGUUCGUUCGUCCGUUCGUCCGUCUGUCCCGCUUCAGGUUAAAGUUUUUGGUCGAGGUAGUUUUUGAUGAAGUUGAAGUCCAAUCGACUUCAAACUUGGUACACAUGUUCCCUAUGAUAUGAUCUUUCUAAUUUUAAUGCCAAAUUAGAGUUUUGACCCCAAUUUUACGGUUCACUGAUAGAAAAUGAUAGUGCAAAUUUCAGGUUAAAGUUUUUGGCUUCAGGUUAAAGUUUUUGGUCAAGGUAGUU